RNAcentral lists this long non-coding RNA (1216 nucleotides) under Vigna radiata. RNAcentral describes it as "long non-coding RNA (VRAD_LNC015579)". The record is from RNAcentral. Lineage: Eukaryota; Viridiplantae; Streptophyta; Magnoliopsida; Fabales; Fabaceae.
UCUCUUGGUAGAAUGAGAUCCGUUGCAGGUUAGUGGUAAGAAGAUAGGUUAAGGGAUACAAGGAGUAUCUAGAUAAUAUUUUGUAGAGUUGUUUCUAGCGUAAGGGUUAAGGGUUUUAGUUACUGUGAGAAAGUUUUGGAAGAGAGAGUGACAGGGAAUGGAUGUUGGGAAAUUGAAAGAUUAAGAGAAAGAAGAGAAAAGGAGUUGGGUGGAUGAGAAAGUGGAAAUAAUGGGGUUGAGCUUUAGUGGUUAAAAAGCAAAAUAGUAAAAGAGGGUUGUGCAUGGUUUAUUAUGCAGUACUUACGCGAAUGUGAAUCAGGGUCUUAACGGGAAUGACCAAAAGACUACGAGUGUUGAAGUAUAGAGAGGUGAGUGUUUUGAAGAAGUAGAGAACCAAAAGCAAAUAGAGGGAGGUUGAGUGUGUGUGUGUGUGUGUGUGUGAUGUUUACGUGAAGUUGAGAAAGAGAAUGGUGAUGAACGAAAAAUAAAGAGAAAAGUUAUUGUCUGGUGUGUGAGAUGACAAAAAUUAAGAAAAUAAAAUGGGGAUGUAUAAUUAAGGUAUGGAUGAGUGGGCCAUGUGAAAUUGACAUUUAUUAUGGCAGUAUUUUAUAGUAAGAAAGUAAAGUAAAGAAGUUACAUGAGUAUGAGAAAGUGAUGAUGAGUAUUGGUUAUUGUAUUAACAGAAGAAGUAUGAUGUUUGAGAGAGAAGAUGGAUUUACGUGAAGUGGAAAAGGAUAUGGAAAUUUUGGUCAAUUGAUGAUGGACCCACUUGAAAGAAUGAUGAUAAUAUUAUAAUAGGAAAUUAGGUGGGCCAUGUGGGGUCCACAUGGGUAGUUAUAUAGUUUAAUAUUAUAAUAGGUUUUGUUAUAGAAAAAGGAGAAAUAAAAAUAUUGAUGUGGCUUUAGUCUGGAUGAGAAAAGUGAGUCAUUAGGAAACUCACGAUCAGGAGCUAUGGAUUUGUGCUCGAAGCGAAAAAAGUUUUUGGGUAAGGUGUGUCUUUCUUUUUAUGCCUAGAUUCGUGUGGGAAAGGAGUGGUAUUUCUCUUGGGGUCUCACGAGUAAUUGUCUUAAUAAUUAAAUAAUUACCCUUGUACGUUUUGGUAGAGAAAAAGGAAUAGGACAGGUGUUGGUGAGGACUGACCUGAUGAACAACCUAUGACAAGGGCAGCUUAGUUGUAAUGAAUUUGCACAUUUGGGAUGGGUCACGUGAAACAUUA